Molecule: ribosomal RNA, 981 nt
Filed under: human gut metagenome
Description: bacterial LSU rRNA
Rfam family: Bacterial large subunit ribosomal RNA
Source: RNAcentral
CGGUCCUAAGGUAGCGAAAUUCCUUGUCGGGUAAGUUCCGACCUGCACGAAUGGCAUAAUGAUGGCCACACUGUCUCCUCCCGAGACUCAGUGAAGUUGAAAUGUUUGUGAUGAUGCAAUCUCCCCGCGGCUAGACGGAAAGACCCCAUGAACCUUUACUGUAGCUUUGCAUUGGACUUUGAACCGAUUUGUGUAGGAUAGGCGGGAGGCAGAGAAAGCGCAACGCCAGUUGUGCCGGAGCCGACGUUGAAAUACCGCCCUGAUUUGUUUGAGGUUCUAACCGCGACCCGUGAGCCGGGUCCGGGACCGUGCAUGGCAGGCAGUUUGACUGGGGCGGUCUCCUCCUAAAGGGUAACGGAGGAGUACAAAGGUACGCUAGGUACGGUCGGAAAUCGUGCUGAUAGUGCAAAGGCAAAAGCGUGCUUGACUGCGAGACCGACAAGUCGAGCAGAUGCGAAAGCAGGUCUUAGUGAUCCGGUGGCUCUGUAUGGAAGGGCCAUCGCUCAACGGAUAAAAGGUACUCUGGGGAUAACAGGCUGAUACCGCCCAAGAGUUCAUAUCGACGGCGGUGUUUGGCACCUCGAUGUCGGCUCAUCUCAUCCUGGGGCUGUAGCCGGUCCCAAGGGUAUGGCUGUUCGCCAUUUAAAGAGGUACGUGAGCUGGGUUUAAAACGUCGUGAGACAGUUUGGUCCCUAUCUGCCGUGGGCGCUGGAAGAUUGACGGGGGCUGCUCCUAGUACGAGAGGACCGGAGUGGACGCACCUCUGGUGUACCGGUUGUCACGCCAGUGGCAUCGCCGGGUAGCUAUGUGCGGAAGAGAUAACCGCUGAAAGCAUCUAAGCGGGAAACUUGCCUGAAGAUAAGUCUUCCCGGAGGCUAGACCUCCCUGAAGAGUCGUUCGAGACCAGGACGUUGAUAGGUCGGGUGUGUAAGCGUUGUGAGACGUUUAGCUAACCGAUACUAAUUGCUCGUGAGGCUUGAU